Non-coding RNA from Pelobates cultripes (western spadefoot toad), 323 nucleotides. Lineage: Eukaryota; Metazoa; Chordata; Amphibia; Anura; Pelobatidae. The record is from the annotation of a GenBank genome assembly.
GUUCCACAUUAUUAAGCAGAGCACCAUUUUCAUGCAAUAUGGGGAAGAAAAAGGAUCUCUCUGCUACCGAAAAGAGUGAAAUAGUUCAAUGCCUUGGACGAGGUAUGAAAACCUUAGAUAUUUCACAAAAAUGUAAGCGUGAUCCUCGCACUAUUAAGAGAUUUGAGGCUGAUUCAAAGCACAGAUGGGUUCGUGCAGAUAAAGGCACAUUGAGGAAGAUUUCUGCCAGAUCCAUGCAUCGGAUCAAGAGAGCAGCUGCUAAAAUACCAUUAUAUAGCAGCAUACAGAUAUUUGAAGUUGAUGGUGACUCUGGAGUGCCACGG